CGAUGGCUCUACUCUUCGGGAGUCUGGAGCCCACUGUAACAACCACACACAGUUACGAGGACAGUCUCCUUCCCGCUGCUCCUACCUCGUUACAUAUACAUAUGGAACACAGCAUAAAACGUUUUUUGAUAUUAAUAUAUUAAAUUAAUAUGAAGCUUAUCGCCUCUAGACAUCAAAAUGAGAACGGAGGGUAGCCGUCAAC
This 202-nucleotide long non-coding RNA is filed under the name Volvox carteri. RNAcentral's name for it is "long non-coding RNA (VCAR_LNC002529)". The record is from RNAcentral. Lineage: Eukaryota; Viridiplantae; Chlorophyta; Chlorophyceae; Chlamydomonadales; Volvocaceae.